GAUGAACGCUGGCGGCGUGCCUAAUACAUGCCAGUCGAGCGAACAGACGAGGAGCUUGCUCCUCUGACGUUAGCGGCGGACGGGUGAGUAACACGUGGAUAACCUACCUAUAAGACUGGGAUAACUUCGGGAAACCGGAGCUAAUACCGGAUAAUAUAUUGAACCGCAUGGUUCAAUAGUGAAAGACGGUUUUGCUGUCACUUAUCGAUGGAUCCGCGCCGCAUUAGCUAGUUGGUAAGGUAACGGCUUACCAAGGCAACGAUGCGUAGCCGACCUGAGAGGGUGAUCGGCCACACUGGAACUGAGACACGGUCCAGACUCCUACGGGAGGCAGCAGUAGGGAAUCUUCCGCAAUGGGCGAAAGCCUGACGGAGCAACGCCGCGUGAGUGAUGAAGGUCUUCGGAUCGUAAAACUCUGUUAUUAGGGAAGAACAAAUGUGUAAGUAACUAUGCACGUCUUGACGGUACCUAAUCAGAAAGCCACGGCUAACUACGUG
Molecule: ribosomal RNA, 497 nt
Filed under: uncultured bacterium
Lineage: Bacteria
Description: partial 16S ribosomal RNA
Rfam family: Bacterial small subunit ribosomal RNA
Source: RNAcentral